Molecule: ribosomal RNA, 254 nt
Filed under: uncultured bacterium
Lineage: Bacteria
Description: partial 16S ribosomal RNA
Rfam family: Bacterial small subunit ribosomal RNA
Source: RNAcentral
UACGGAGGGUGCAAGCGUUAUCCGGAUUUACUGGGUUUAAAGGGUGCGUAGGUGGGUCUGUAAGUCAGUGGUGAAAUCUCCGAGCUUAACUCGGAAACUGCCAUUGAUACUAUAGGUCUUGAAUUAUCUGGAGGUAAGCGGAAUAUGUCAUGUAGCGGUGAAAUGCGUAGAUAUCAAGAGGAACACCUGAGGUGAAGACGGGUUGCUGGGCUGACACUGACGCUGAGUGCGCGAAAGCUAGGGUAGCAAACGGG